AUAAUACUCCAUAGAUUAGAGACACUGGAAUGUUCUUUAGUCGAAAGUUCUGGCGCCUUAGGAUGGAUCUGCGUUCGAUUAGGUUGUUGUUGGGGUAACGGCCCAACAAGCCUGUAAUCGAUACGGGUUGUGGGAGCAAGAGCCCGGAGAUGGAAUCUGAGACACGAUUCCAGGCCCUACGGGGCGCAGCAGGCGCGAAAACUUUACAAUGCAGGAAACUGUGAUAAGGGAACUCCGAGUGCCCGUAUACGCGGGCUGUCCAGGUGUUUAAAAAUCAUCUGAAGAAAGGGCCGGGCAAGACCGGUGCCAGCCGCCGCGGUAAUACCGGCGGCUCGAGUGGUGGCCACUAUUAUUGGGCUUAAAGCGUCCGUAGCUGGACCGAUAAGUCUCUUGGGAAAUCCGCCGGCUCAACCGGCGGGCGUCUAAGGGAUACUGUUAGUCUAGGGACCGGGAGAGGUGAGAGGUACUCCGGGGGUAGGAGUGAAAUCCUGUAAUCCCCGGGGGACCACCGAUGGCGAAGGCAUCUCACCAGAACGGCUCCGACAGUGAGGGACGAAAGCUGGGGGAGCGAACCGGAUUAGAUACCCGGGUAGUCCCAGCCGUAAACUAUGCGCGUUAGGUGU
RNAcentral lists this ribosomal RNA (623 nucleotides) under uncultured archaeon. RNAcentral describes it as "bacterial SSU rRNA". It matches the Rfam family "Archaeal small subunit ribosomal RNA", at positions 146 to 774 of the family's 1478-position model. The record is from RNAcentral.